Molecule: ribosomal RNA, 446 nt
Filed under: uncultured bacterium
Lineage: Bacteria
Description: partial 16S ribosomal RNA
Rfam family: Bacterial small subunit ribosomal RNA
Source: RNAcentral
CCUACGGGUGGCAGCAGUCGAGAAUCAUUCACAAUGGGGGAAACCCUGAUGGUGCGACGCCGCGUGGGGGAAUGAAGGUCUUCGGAUUGUAAACCCCUGUCAUGUGGGAGCAAAUUAAAAAGAUAGUACCACAAGAGGAAGAGACGGCUAACUCUGUGCCAGCAGCCGCGGUAAUACAGAGGUCUCAAGCGUUGUUCGGAAUCACUGGGCGUAAGGCGUUCGUAGGCUGUUUCGUAAGUCGUGUGUGAAAGGCGCGGGCUCAACCCGCGGACGGCAGAUGAUACUGCGAGACUAGAGUAAUGGAGGGGGAACCGGAAUGCUCGGUGUAGCAGGGAAAUGCGUAGAUAUCGAGAGGAACACUCGUGGCGAAGGCGGGUUCCUGGACAUUAACUGACGCUGAGGCACGAAGGCCAGGGGAGCGAAAGGGAUUAGAUACCCUGGUAGUC